UAAGGAAUAUUGCUCAAUGGGAGAAAUCCUGAAGCAGCAACGCCGCGUGGAGGAUGAAGGGUCUAUGACUUGUAAACUCCUGUAAAGAAGGAAAAAAUUCCCAUUAGAUGGGAGAUGAUGGUACUUCUGGAGUAAGCCCCGGCUAACUACGUGCCAGCAGCCGCGGUAAUACGUAGGGGGCAAGUGUUGUCCGGAUUUACUGGGUGUAAAGGGUGCUCAGGCGGAUUUGUAAGUCAGAGGUGAAAUCUUACAGCUUAACUGUGAAACUGCCUUUGAUACUGCAAGCCUAGAGUAUGGAAGAGAGUGAUGGAAUAUCUGGUGUAGCAGUGAAAUGCGUAGAUAUCAGAUAGAACACCAAUGGCGAAGGCAGUCACUUGGUCCAUUACUGACGCUAAAGCACGAAAGCGUGGGUAGCAAACA
This 420-nucleotide ribosomal RNA is filed under the name uncultured bacterium. Its description in RNAcentral is "bacterial SSU rRNA". It matches the Rfam family "Bacterial small subunit ribosomal RNA", at positions 355 to 774 of the family's 1533-position model. The record is from RNAcentral.